Small nucleolar RNA from Cynocephalus volans (Philippine flying lemur), 65 nucleotides. RefSeq annotates it as small nucleolar RNA SNORD58. The record is from RefSeq and is a predicted model, not a curated record. NCBI's taxonomy places the organism in Eukaryota, Metazoa, Chordata, Mammalia, Dermoptera, Cynocephalidae. The transcript has a single exon.
CUGCAAUGAUGCACUACUUAGGACACCUUUGGAUUAAUAAUGAAAACAACUACUCUCUGAGCAGC